AUUGAACGCUGGCGGCAGGCUUAACACAUGCAAGUCGAGCGGAGUGAUGGUGCUUGCACUAUCACUUAGCGGCGGACGGGUGAGUAAUGCUUAGGAAUCUGCCUAUUAGUGGGGGACAACAUCUCGAAAGGGAUGCUAAUACCGCAUACGUCCUACGGGAGAAAGCAGGGGAUCACUUGUGACCUUGCGCUAAUAGAUGAGCCUAAGCCGGAUUAGCUAGUUGGUGGGGUAAAGGCCUACCAAGGCGACGAUCUGUAGCGGGUCUGAGAGGAUGAUCCGCCACGCUGGGACUGAGACACGGCCCAGACUCCUACGGGAGGCAGCAGUGGGGAAUAUUGGACAAUGGGGGGAACCCUGAUCCAGCCAUGCCGCGUGUGUGAAGAAGGCCUUAUGGUUGUAAAGCACUUUAAGCGAGGAGGAGGCUCUUUUGGUUAAUACCCAAGAUGAGUGGACGUUACUCGCAGAAUAAGCACCGGCUAACUCUGUGCCAGCCGCCGCAGUAA
RNAcentral lists this ribosomal RNA (503 nucleotides) under uncultured bacterium. RNAcentral describes it as "partial 16S ribosomal RNA". It matches the Rfam family "Bacterial small subunit ribosomal RNA", at positions 30 to 523 of the family's 1533-position model. The record is from RNAcentral.